GGGGUCGUAGUUAAGAUGGUAAUAACGCCGGCCUGUCACGCCGGAGGCCGCGGGUUCAAGUCCCGUCGACCCCGCCA
This 77-nucleotide transfer RNA is filed under the name Desulfonauticus submarinus. RNAcentral's name for it is "tRNA_Asp_GTC". It matches the Rfam family "tRNA". Rfam says of the family: Transfer RNA (tRNA) molecules are approximately 80 nucleotides in length. RNAcentral also lists the same sequence under 2 other names. Lineage: Bacteria; Pseudomonadati; Thermodesulfobacteriota; Desulfovibrionia; Desulfovibrionales; Desulfonauticaceae. The record is from RNAcentral.